RNAcentral lists this ribosomal RNA (863 nucleotides) under uncultured bacterium. RNAcentral's name for it is "bacterial SSU rRNA". It matches the Rfam family "Bacterial small subunit ribosomal RNA", at positions 58 to 916 of the family's 1533-position model. The record is from RNAcentral.
CAAGUCGAGCGGUAGAGAGAAGCUUGCUUCUCUUGAGAGCGGCGGACGGGUGAGUAAUGCCUAGGAAUCUGCCUGGUAGUGGGGGAUAACGUUCGGAAACGGACGCUAAUACCGCAUACGUCCUACGGGAGAAAGCAGGGGACCUUCGGGCCUUGCGCUAUCAGAUGAGCCUAGGUCGGAUUAGCUAGUUGGUGAGGUAAUGGCUCACCAAGGCGACGAUCCGUAACUGGUCUGAGAGGAUGAUCAGUCACACUGGAACUGAGACACGGUCCAGACUCCUACGGGAGGCAGCAGUGGGGAAUAUUGGACAAUGGGCGAAAGCCUGAUCCAGCCAUGCCGCGUGUGUGAAGAAGGUCUUCGGAUUGUAAAGCACUUUAAGUUGGGAGGAAGGGUUGUAGAUUAAUACUCUGCAAUUUUGACGUUACCGACAGAAUAAGCACCGGCUAACUCUGUGCCAGCAGCCGCGGUAAUACAGAGGGUGCAAGCGUUAAUCGGAAUUACUGGGCGUAAAGCGCGCGUAGGUGGUUUGUUAAGUUGGAUGUGAAAUCCCCGGGCUCAACCUGGGAACUGCAUUCAAAACUGACUGACUAGAGUAUGGUAGAGGGUGGUGGAAUUUCCUGUGUAGCGGUGAAAUGCGUAGAUAUAGGAAGGAACACCAGUGGCGAAGGCGACCACCUGGACUAAUACUGACACUGAGGUGCGAAAGCGUGGGGAGCAAACAGGAUUAGAUACCCUGGUAGUCCACGCCGUAAACGAUGUCAACUAGCCGUUGGAAGCCUUGAGCUUUUAGUGGCGCAGCUAACGCAUUAAGUUGACCGCCUGGGGAGUACGGCCGCAAGGUUAAAACUCAAAUGAAUUGACGG